CGCUGUUCCAAGGGGUGCCCCGCGAGGGGGCUGAGAUUCCGCCGGUCGAGCCCAUAAGCCCGACAGCGCGGUGACCCUCCGAACCUGAUCCGGGUCAUGCCGGCGUAGGGAUGCGGGACAUCGGGUGC
This 128-nucleotide non-coding RNA is filed under the name Allobosea sp. AAP35. RNAcentral describes it as "Bosea sp. AAP35 TPP riboswitch aptamer (THI element)". It matches the Rfam family "TPP riboswitch aptamer (THI element)". Rfam says of the family: Vitamin B(1) in its active form thiamin pyrophosphate (TPP) is an essential coenzyme that is synthesised by coupling of pyrimidine and thiazole moieties in bacteria. Lineage: Bacteria; Pseudomonadati; Pseudomonadota; Alphaproteobacteria; Hyphomicrobiales; Alloboseaceae. RNAcentral also lists the same sequence under 1 other name. The record is from Rfam by way of RNAcentral.